RNAcentral lists this ribosomal RNA (18 nucleotides) under Blastocrithidia triatomae. RNAcentral's name for it is "partial 9S ribosomal RNA". Lineage: Eukaryota; Euglenozoa; Kinetoplastea; Trypanosomatida; Trypanosomatidae. The record is from RNAcentral.
UAAUUAAAAAAAAAUUUU